This 340-nucleotide unclassified non-coding RNA is filed under the name uncultured Basidiomycota. Its description in RNAcentral is "sequence contains ITS1". The stretch from base 1 to 98 matches the Rfam family "5.8S ribosomal RNA", at positions 50 to 154 of the family's 154-position model. Lineage: Eukaryota; Fungi; Basidiomycota. The record is from RNAcentral.
GAAAUGCGAUAAGUAAUGUGAAUUGCAGAAUUCAGUGAAUCAUCGAAUCUUUGAACGCACCUUGCGCUUUUUGGCCCUACUGAUGCGUUUGAGUGUCAUUGAAUCCUCAAGGCCCCCUUCGCCCUUCGCGGCUUUUGGGGACUUGGAUGUGGGAGCGCUGCGGGAGGCCUACAGAUUGGCCUCUCGCUCUCCUCAAACGCAUCAGUAGGGCCUCUCGGGUCUUCGCGGCGUUGAUAGUCGUCCACGCCUCGUUCCCGUUGGGGGGUUCACCUGCUUCGAAAAAACACCCUUCUCUGACUCUUUUGACCUCAAAUCAGGUAGGACUACCCGCUGAACUUAA